This 66-nucleotide transfer RNA is filed under the name Asclepios apicalis. RNAcentral's name for it is "tRNA-Pro". The record is from RNAcentral. Lineage: Eukaryota; Metazoa; Arthropoda; Insecta; Hemiptera; Gerridae.
CAGCGAGUAUUUUAUUUAAAAUAUUAAUUUUGGGGAUUAAAGAAAGGAUAAUUUUUCUCUUGCUGA